UAGCAAAACAAGCAAAACAAGUAUUAAAGGUCAAGCCUGCCCGGUGACCAUUUCAACGGCCGCGGUACCCUAACCGUGCAAAGGUAGCAUAAUCACUUGUCUCCUAAAUAGAGACUAGAAUGAACGGCUAAAUGAGGACUUAACUGUCUCCUUGGGGCACCCAAUGAAACUGAUCUUCUAGUACAAAAGCUAAAAUAAGCUCAUAAGACGAAAAGACCCCGUGGAGCUUUAAACACACCGAUUAUCACACACCUAGCACCACUAUUGUGCCAAUAAUAAUGUUUUCAGUUGGGGCGACUGCGGAGAAGAGUAAAACCUCCAUGAAAUCAGGCUAACCCCCAAAACAGGCACACAUGCUGACCAUUGACCCAGUAAUACUGAUCAACGAACCAAGUUACCCCGGGGAUAACAGCGCAAUCCCCCUAAAGAGUCCUUAUCAACGGGGGGGCUUACGACCUCGAUGUUGGAUCAGGGCCCCCAGGCGGCGCAGCCACUGCCAACGGUUCGUUCGUUCAACGAGUAACGCCCUACGUG
This 534-nucleotide ribosomal RNA is filed under the name Cnemaspis regalis. RNAcentral's name for it is "Cnemaspis sp. SPal-2021i partial large subunit ribosomal RNA". It matches the Rfam family "Bacterial large subunit ribosomal RNA", at positions 1823 to 2602 of the family's 2925-position model. The record is from RNAcentral. Lineage: Eukaryota; Metazoa; Chordata; Lepidosauria; Squamata; Gekkonidae.